Molecule: ribosomal RNA, 515 nt
Filed under: uncultured bacterium
Lineage: Bacteria
Description: partial 16S ribosomal RNA
Rfam family: Bacterial small subunit ribosomal RNA
Source: RNAcentral
GAUGAACGCUGGCGGCGUGCCUAAUACAUGCAAGUCGAGCGAAUGGAUUAAGAGCUUGCUCUUAUGAAGUUAGCGGCGGACGGGUGAGUAACACGUGGGUAACCUGCCCAUAAGACUGGGAUAACUCCGGGAAACCGGGGCUAAUACCGGAUAACAUUUUGAACCGCAUGGUUCGAAAUUGAAAGGCGGCUUCGGCUGUCACUUAUGGAUGGACCCGCGUCGCAUUAGCUAGUUGGUGAGGUAACGGCUCACCAAGGCAACGAUGCGUAGCCGACCUGAGAGGGUGACCGGCCACACUGGGACUGGGACACGGCCCAGACUCCGACGGGAGGCAGCAGUAGGGAAUCUUCCGCAAUGGACGAAAGUCUGACGGAGCAACGCCGCGUGAGUGAGGAAGGCUUUCGGGUCGUAAAACUCUGUUGUUAGGGAAGAACAAGUGCUAGUUGAAUAAGCUGGCACCUUGACGGUACCUAACCAGAAAGCCACGGCUAACUACGUGCCAGCAGCCGCCGUAA